Molecule: transfer RNA, 72 nt
Filed under: Camelus bactrianus (Bactrian camel)
Lineage: Eukaryota; Metazoa; Chordata; Mammalia; Artiodactyla; Camelidae
Also listed under: 3 other names
Rfam family: tRNA
About the family: Transfer RNA (tRNA) molecules are approximately 80 nucleotides in length. Their secondary structure includes four short double-helical elements and three loops (D, anti-codon, and T loops). Further hydrogen bonds mediate the characteristic L-shaped molecular structure. tRNAs have two regions of fundamental functional importance: the anti-codon, which is responsible for specific mRNA codon recognition, and the 3' end, to which the tRNAs corresponding amino acid is attached (by aminoacyl-tRNA synthetases). tRNAs cope with the degeneracy of the genetic code in two manners: having more than one tRNA (with a specific anti-codon) for a particular amino acid; and 'wobble' base-pairing, i.e. permitting non-standard base-pairing at the 3rd anti-codon position.
Source: Rfam by way of RNAcentral
GAAGGUAUAGCUCAGUGGUAGAGUGAAUGAUUAGCAUGCUCAAGGUCCUGGGUUCAAUCCCCAGUACCUCUG